RNAcentral lists this ribosomal RNA (854 nucleotides) under uncultured bacterium. RNAcentral describes it as "bacterial SSU rRNA". It matches the Rfam family "Bacterial small subunit ribosomal RNA", at positions 8 to 854 of the family's 1533-position model. The record is from RNAcentral.
AGAGUUUGAUCAUGGCUCAGGAUGAACGCUAGCUACAGGCUUAACACAUGCAAGUCGCGGGGCAGCAUGAAUUUAGCUUGCUAAAUUUGAUGGCGACCGGCGCACGGGUGAGUAACGCGUAUCCAACCUUCCCCUGUCCACGGGAUAGCCCGUCGAAAGGCGGAUUAAUACCGUAUGAGGUCACAUGACGGCAUCAGAGUGUGACGAAAGGUUUGGCGGACGGGGAUGGGGAUGCGUCCGAUUAGCUAGUUGGCGGGGUAACGGCCCACCAAGGCGACGAUCGGUAGGGGUUCUGAGAGGAAGGUCCCCCACAUUGGAACUGAGACACGGUCCAAACUCCUACGGGAGGCAGCAGUGAGGAAUAUUGGUCAAUGGGCGAGAGCCUGAACCAGCCAAGUAGCGUGCAGGACGACGGCCCUAUGGGUUGUAAACUGCUUUUAUGCGGGGAUAACGUGCGCCACGUGUGGUGUAUUGCAGGUACCGCAUGAAUAAGGACCGGCUAAUUCCGUGCCAGCAGCCGCGGUAAUACGGAAGGUCCGGGCGUUAUCCGGAUUUAUUGGGUUUAAAGGGAGCGUAGGCCGCUGUUUAAGCGUGUUGUGAAAAACCGGGGCUCAACUCCGGUCGUGCAGCGCGAACUGGACGGCUUGAGUGCGCGGUAAGUGGGCGGAAUUUGUGGUGUAGCGGUGAAAUGCUUAGAUAUCACGAAGAACUCCGAUUGCGAAGGCAGCUCACUGUAGCGCAACUGACGCUGAAGCUCGAAAGUGCGGGUAUCGAACAGGAUUAGAUACCCUGGUAGUCCGCACGGCAAACGAUGGAUGCCCGCUGUUCCGGCAAUAGCUGGAGUGGCCAAGCGA